ACUAGCAGUAAGAGUUUGAUCAUGGCUCAGGACGAACGCUGGCGGCACGCCUAACACAUGCAAGUCGAACGGCCCCUUCGGGGGCAGUGGCGGACGGGUGAGUAACGCGUGGGAACCUGCCCCUUGGUUCGGGACACCCGGGAAACCCGGGCUAAUACCGGAUGCGCUCCUGGCUUUGGCUGGGAGGAAAGAUUGAUCGCCGAGGGAUGGGCCCGCGUCGGAUUAGGUUGUUGGUGAGGUAACGGCUCACCAAGCCUACGAUCCGUAGCUGGUCUGAGAGGAUGAUCAGCCACACUGGGACUGAGACACGGCCCAGACUCCUACGGGAGGCAGCAGUGGGGAAUCUUGGACAAUGGACGCAAGUCUGAUCCAGCGAUGCCGCGUGAGCGAUGAAGGCCUUAGGGUUGUAAAGCUCUUUCGCCCGCGACGAUGAUGACGGUAGCGGGAGAAGAAGCCCCGGCUAACUCCGUGCCAGCCGCCGCGGUAAUAC
RNAcentral lists this ribosomal RNA (490 nucleotides) under uncultured bacterium. RNAcentral's name for it is "bacterial SSU rRNA". It matches the Rfam family "Bacterial small subunit ribosomal RNA", at positions 1 to 526 of the family's 1533-position model. The record is from RNAcentral.